This 253-nucleotide ribosomal RNA is filed under the name uncultured prokaryote. RNAcentral describes it as "partial 16S ribosomal RNA". It matches the Rfam family "Bacterial small subunit ribosomal RNA", at positions 524 to 776 of the family's 1533-position model. The record is from RNAcentral.
UACGGAGGGUGCAAGCGUUAAUCGGAAUUACUGGGCGUAAAGCGCACGUAGGCUGUAGUGUAAGUCAGGGGUGAAAUCCCACGGCUCAACCGUGGAACUGCCUUUGAUACUGCACAACUUGAAUCCGGGAGAGGGUGGCGGAAUUCCAGGUGUAGGAGUGAAAUCCGUAGAUAUCUGGAGGAACAUCAGUGGCGAGGGCGGCCACCUGGACCGGUAUUGACGCUGAGGUGCGAAAGCGUGGGGAGCAAACAGG